AGAGCGAACGCUGGCGGCAGGCUUAACACAUGCAAGUCGAGCGGGCGUAGCAAUACGUCAGCGGCAGACGGGUGAGUAACGCGUGGGAACGUACCUUUUGGUUCGGAACAACACAGGGAAACUUGUGCUAAUACCGGAUAAGCCCUUACGGGGAAAGAUUUAUCGCCAAAAGAUCGGCCCGCGUCUGAUUAGCUAGUUGGUGAGGUAACGGCUCACCAAGGCGACGAUCAGUAGCUGGUCUGAGAGGAUGAUCAGCCACAUUGGGACUGAGACACGGCCCAAACUCCUACGGGAGGCAGCAGUGGGGAAUAUUGGACAAUGGGCGCAAGCCUGAUCCAGCCAUGCCGCGUGAGUGAUGAAGGCCCUAGGGUUGUAAAGCUCUUUUGUGCGGGAAGAUAAUGACGGUACCGCAAGAAUAAGCCCCGGCUAACUUCGUGCUAGCAGCCGC
This 448-nucleotide ribosomal RNA is filed under the name uncultured bacterium. RNAcentral describes it as "SSU rRNA". It matches the Rfam family "Bacterial small subunit ribosomal RNA", at positions 26 to 518 of the family's 1533-position model. The record is from RNAcentral.